UACGUAGGGGGCAAGCGUUGUCCGGAUUUAUUGGGCGUAAAGAGCGUGUAGGCGGCCAGGUAGGUCGGUUGUGAAAACUCGAGGCUCAACCUCGAGAUGUCGACCGAAACCAUCUGGCUAGAGUCCGGAAGAGGAGAAUGGAAUUCCCGGUGUAGCGGUGAAAUGCGCAGAUAUCGGGAAGAACACCCGUGGCGAAGGCGGUUCACUGGGACGGUACUGACGCUGAGACGCGAAAGCGUGGGGAGCGAACAGG
RNAcentral lists this ribosomal RNA (253 nucleotides) under uncultured bacterium. Its description in RNAcentral is "partial 16S ribosomal RNA". It matches the Rfam family "Bacterial small subunit ribosomal RNA", at positions 524 to 776 of the family's 1533-position model. The record is from RNAcentral.